Molecule: long non-coding RNA, 1096 nt
Organism: Daphnia pulex (common water flea)
Lineage: Eukaryota; Metazoa; Arthropoda; Branchiopoda; Diplostraca; Daphniidae
Exons: 5
Source: RefSeq, a predicted model, not a curated record
AGUAGUAAUGCCACCAUUAGGACUGUGCAGACCGAAGUUCGUCUGCAGUGAAAAAUAGAAAAAUCACGAUCAGCAACUCACGUGGGGCGUCUUCACCGUUGACACUUCGGCAGGGCUAGUGUCUGCCUUGGUCUGCCUACGCAAAUCAGUGUUGGAAAUGUUUCAGCCCUGCUGUUGCAUGAUCUUAUUAACAUUUGGAAAAGGAGUCCGUUAACAUAAAGUUUUCUUUUUUAUUUCGAUUGCCAGUGUGUGCUUUCCACUGGUGUCCCGUCCUCUUACACGUGGUUGAUAUAAAGAAGAAAGUCAAGAGAAUGUUUGGAACCGCCAAAAACUCCCUUAUUGGUACCUGAAGUGAGGCAAUGGCUGUAUCACCUGCAUUGGAUGUGUAAUCUCGCCAUGCUGAAAAGGAGUGUGAUACAAGAUAAUUGUGUCCUGUGUUUCUCUCUCGGGCCAAUCUAGGUUGGGAUCAGCAACCCCAUUAGUGUCAUACAAUGUUUGCUUGCAGUUGGGGCCAAGAUGAAAUGUUUAAAGACCUUUUGUCAAGAGCUUUACACUAUAUAAUAUCAGUCAGAAGCUGGGUGGCUCCCAUAUCCAGUUGACAAAAUAACAAAGGCAAGAACAAAUCAUUUCAACCUUGGCCAUAUCCUCUCGGUCAUAUGCUUGCAUGCUAUGCCAUUGUUUUCUCUUCUGUCUGACAAGAGUCAAUAGAUCAUAUUUGACUUCAACGUCUGAAAACACUUGGCCAUGUUCAUGCUGAUGGCUAUGUUUAUACAAUCAGUUAAUAUUUUCAUUUUUAAUUGUGCUGUAUUGAAGUGAAUUCACAUGUCACAGCGUAACAGCAUUUCAUUUGAAUCUGGCCAUUUCAGAGUUUGAUAAACUUUUUAAAAUGUGAAGUAAGCGAUGCUGCCUAUGACAGGGGAAACAGAAUCCACGUCCGUCGUGUCCAACUCCAAUAGAUUACCAAAAUCAGCCGAUCGAAUUGGAAUAGUUUUUAGUUUUUUGGACCUUUUAUGCCGAGAAACUGUGGAUACCACCUGACCUAAUGCUGUUUUGCUAUUACUAUCCUAUAAACAAAAAUAAAAAUAAUUGGACGCCA